This 258-nucleotide ribosomal RNA is filed under the name uncultured bacterium. RNAcentral's name for it is "partial 16S ribosomal RNA". It matches the Rfam family "Bacterial small subunit ribosomal RNA", at positions 96 to 354 of the family's 1533-position model. The record is from RNAcentral.
UGGCGGACGGGUGAGUAACGCGUGGGUAACCUGCCCUGUACAGGGGGAUAACAGUUAGAAAUGACUGCUAACACCGCAUAAGCGCACGGUAAGGCAUCUUAGUGUGUGAAAAUAUUCAUAGGUACAGGAUGGGCCCGCGUCUGAUUAGCCAGUUGGCAGGGUAACGGCCUACCAAAGCGACGAUCAGUAGCCGGCUUGAGAGAGUGAACGGCCACAUUGGGACUGAGACACGGCCCAAACUCCUACGGGAGGCAGCAG